This is a long non-coding RNA of Arvicanthis niloticus (Nile rat), 344 nucleotides long. RefSeq lists it as uncharacterized. The record is from RefSeq and is a predicted model, not a curated record. NCBI's taxonomy places the organism in Eukaryota, Metazoa, Chordata, Mammalia, Rodentia, Muridae.
UACUGGGAUCCCUCCCACCAACUGCUCCAGUGAAUCCUUAACCUGGACCUGUUUGCCAGAACAGUUCAGAUGCGAGAAUCGUGGCAAGACUGGAAACAGAAAUGAAGACACAGUGUUACCGUUCAACUAGAGUGGUCUCUGAAGCCCAGCAGGCUGCUACACUUUCUAGUUGGAUAAGAGAUAAAGAAGAUGGACUUUGAAAGGCUAAUUCACAGGCUACCACACAGUCAAUAAAAGCUGAUGCUUGGAUCUCACACACCCCCACACACCCCCGGCUAAAAUGGCUCCAGAGUCCUCUUUUUAACUACUUUAUUUCGCUGCCAUCAAAGCAAAAAUAUUUGUAA